Molecule: ribosomal RNA, 216 nt
Filed under: Triticum aestivum (bread wheat)
Lineage: Eukaryota; Viridiplantae; Streptophyta; Magnoliopsida; Poales; Poaceae
Description: partial small subunit ribosomal RNA
Source: RNAcentral
AUGAUGAUCCCAUUAUUAACUAUUCUCGCAAAACUGCUCCACAGAACCGCUGUUAACCAUUGGUCGUUGAGGAGGCGUAUUCUCAAAGGACCCAUAUCUACUGCUGUGUUAAUGGGGGCGUGGUUUGGUAAUACGCCAAUUUGGCCACUAUUAGUGGAUAAAAUGAUUUCUUUCACCUCACAAUCCCAAAUAAUUCGCUUAGGAGUCAGUACAUAA